Cyanistes caeruleus (blue tit) is the source of this 8731-nucleotide non-coding RNA. The record is from RefSeq and is a predicted model, not a curated record. Lineage: Eukaryota; Metazoa; Chordata; Aves; Passeriformes; Paridae.
GGUGCCGGGUGAGGAGCGGCGGAGUGCGGAGGGGCUGUGGGCGCUCAGCUGUGGUCUGAGGGGGCGUGUAUUUGAGCCCCCUUCCGCACCGAGACCCGCCGACGGAGGGGGCAGUAAAGGCGAAGCGCCUCGGCCGUGGGGGGAACGGUGCGACCCUGCAGGGCUGGACAGGGAGCAGCAAAGGAGCGGAGAGCAGCUGAGGGGGUAUUUUCAUACGGCAGGGGUUAGUGAUCCUCGGGACAAAUAUCUUCUCCCGCUUACCUUCACGGGCGUCUAUUUAAGAAGGCACACACAAAACUUCAGUAUCUAAAGUUCAGUCCUUUCUUCUGUAUCUGCUGUUCCCUUUAACUGAUUAUGCUUGCCUCUGAAAAUCAAGGAUCCACGAUUACCAAAACAAGAUCAGGAACUUUGUUGUGCGGAAAGCCUGGGACACCAAGAGCUAGUUAGAGCGCUCAGUCUGCUUGGGUCUGCUAUCGGGGUUCCGGAUUCCACAGGCCUUUUCCUCCCGAAACAUCAGCUGCCUACCCCUGAGCUACUGCCCGAGAAAACUGCCUGCAUAGGUUUUGAGGAAUUUGAAAAGCUUAAAUCUGAAAAGCUUCUCUUUUAUAAAUGACACGCGAUCUAUGUAUAAACAUGAAAAUACACCCAGGGUGAUCCUUUAGACGUCCCUCAAGGCAACGAGAAGACUUAGUGUGGUAACUUUGACAUGCUUGGUGACUUAGUUGUACAACUCAGCUCUUCAGGAUUUCUCCAUCUGUCACUGUCGGUUUGUGCUUUCAGUAAACAUGGGCUUUUUUAACCAGUAUGCUUGAAAAAAAAUCAAAAAUUUGGGUAAAAAUGUGGUGUUGAAAUGCUGCUAGUUUUAAUGGUUGUCACUUCUCAUCAGACUAAUGCUGUUUAAAGGUAGUUUACUAAGAAUUAAUUUUAAAGCAGUUUUAAAAAAUGGACCUGAAAUUCACUACAUUUAAUGUCUUUCCUUUCUAGCCCUGUGUCUUGUUUAAGUUUUAUUUUGUUGUGUGCUGUUGUUUUGGGUUUUUUUUCUUUUACACUUAGAUAAUUGCUCAUGUUUAGGGCUUUACAGUUUCAUUUAUCAUCUCCAUUCUGCAAGGCUCAGAUCUUGCUUUUCUUCCUAUUUUCAAAGGACUUUCCCUUUCCCUUCCCUUCAUUUUCUUUUGUUUAUUUUUGUUUUUUCUUAAAAAAUAUUUAUUUAGGUCUCUCUGCUUGUUAAACAGUAUUCUGUGCUGCAGAGUGACAUGGAAAUAUAUAAUGUGAUUUUGUUUAAACCAAAUAGAACUAAUUUCUGUUAAAAGUAACAAGUAGGUAAAAGCUGGCAUCAACAUGUUUUCUCUGGCCUUAAUAAAAAGGCCAUUGUUUCUGUCUGGGGGAAGCCAGAUGCGCUCCUACAGGUACAGCAGUAAGUCUGAACAACCAGUUGUACUAAGCAAGGUGCAGUACAGUGACCUUGCAGUUAAUGGUGUAAAUUAAGGGGCCAGGAGACCUUCAGCUCCCUUUAAUAAGCCUUUAUUAGAAAGAACUAAGCCUAGAGGUGGGGGCUCGGGGUGUGCACCGCUGCUGCUGCUCCCCGUGGUUGAUGUGGAAGAGGAGGACCACACAGGCCUGUCGUCAUCCACUGAUGAGAUGACUGGAGCCUCUAUCCUUGUCAGGAUCACCCAGAAACUCUGUUUAAGGUUUGAAAGUCCAGGGAUGUCUUCCCUCUCAAGUCCUGCCUAGGUCAUGGUGACCAGCUUGCCAGACUGACAUUGGUGUACCCAGUCUCCCCAGGUCCCCACUGCCUCCACAGUGUGGUCCUCCAGAUGUUUCUUGAGAGUGGCUCGUUGUCCAGGGCUGUCUUCGCUCCCAGGUGGUAAUAUGAUUUUAAUAUGCACCCGUGUGCAAGUCUUUAUGGGAAAUGCAGAAGUUCAUCCUGGGUAGCAGCGGCUGAAUUACCCGACGGGUUGGAAGGGAGUAAGGGGUGGGGGUACAAAUGCAAUGAUAAAACAAGUACGAACUUCUUAACAGUGAGCCCUUUUGGGGCCUACAACACCAAAACCCCUUAUCCAGGGACUUAAACUGGGAUUGAAACAAGAACAUAUAAUUUGAACAUAGGGAUUUUUAUUUAUAACAAUAUUAGGAUUUUUAUUUAUAACAGUUAAUAGUGAACAGCUCGUGGGAUUUCUGGGCUAUGACCUUGCACCGAUCUCUGAGUGGUCUGUGGAAGUGAGCAGUGUCACAGGGCUUCAGCUGAACUUCUCUUCCAUUUAUUGACAUCUUCCCCCAUUCUCACAUUUUGAUUUACUUGUCAACCCAUGGGUCAUGCAAUUCAUGAGAUGAAGGUUGGUAUAAUAGUGAAGGUGAAGAGAUGUGACUCUUAAGUGUUUGGGAGGCUCUUCUUCUUUUAUGACCUGUGUUAAAUAUUUCAAUUAAAAACAACCUCCUUUCUUUUCAGCAUCUACCUUGCAGUCCUGCUGGAGUCUUUUCAUGGCUUUUGAUUUUCUUAAUUACCUCUUCGACUGUGUCACUUUAUCAGCAUCCAAAAAAAUAAAGGACAGAAAAUAGUCAGGAUGAAGAAGUCAUGAAUUACAAACACAAAUUGGCUUUUGGAGAAAAGUUCAAAAACUAGUAUGUAGUCACAGAAAGUUCAGUGUUCUUAGAGUGUUCUAGUGUUCUUAGAGUGUUCUUUUUUUCACCUGUUGUUUCUGAUUCUUCUGGUUGAACUCAAUAUAGUGCAUCCAAGGUUUAGAAGAUGGCUUAAAAUUCCUAGGUUAGGAGGCAAUUUCAGGCAUGCAGAGGUGACUAUCAGAAAUAAAGGAAUGAAGCUGAUUUUACGCAUGUGUCAAAUUUACAGUCUGUGGAAGAAUCUAAGAUGGGGAUUGGAAAUGGCUUGCUAUUUAAAAAUGGUCUUUGGUUUUAAAAUGACUGUAAUCUUUGUUAGACACUAACUUUCUUGGUAAUAUGUACAUAAAUUUAAAACAUGUAAGGAAAAUGUAUUAUAAUAUUUUCAGUGCAUCCAAAUGGCUGGGUCAUCUAGGUACAACAGCUGGAGGCUGUUGGUUUUGGUAAAGGUGCAGCUCUGUGUGAUGCCAUCUGUAAGCCUCCACCACCAUUUCCGUCUUGGAGCACACUCUGAGUUCAGGUAAAUUGUGUUCACGCUCAUGUUUAGAGGACUUAAUGAAAUACAUGAACAAUACUAAAAAAUUUGGAUUUUAAAAUAAUGUAAGGCACCAUUUUUCUUCCUGUUGCUUUCCUGCCCCUUUGCUAACAGUUGUAUCCCAUAUUUAACUGGAUUUCUUGCAAGGAGUUAGUGUGUUGAAGUUCUCAUCAUGAUUUGGUUUUUUGGAUGUUACAAGAAUGGAAACACUGGAUACUUGAAUUUGUCUGAAAUGAGUUUAUAUUAAUCCUUAAAGCUAUAUAUAGAUUUGUUUAUUUUAGAAAAUUACUAUUUAUGCAGACAUGAAAGAUUGUGCAUGAUUGUCCUGUAUUGCAGAAGUCAGCAUUUGAAAAUAACUGAUACUUUGUGUAAUUAAGGGAACUUAAUUGAGACUUGGCAUUUAGCGUGUAUUUGAAAAUCAAAGGGGAAUAAAGACCAUUUUCUGACUGCAUUUUGAUGUGAAGGGAAUCUUUUACUGAACCAUAUAUUUUUCAUUCUCUUAGUCCAGCAUUACAAUUAAGAUGUGUGGUUUCAUAUUACUAGGUCAUCUGUAACUGCUGUGUGAACAUUGCAGUCUGCUUGGUAGCACAGUUCUGUAGCACAUCUGAAUUCUGUAUACACUGCAGCUUUUGAGGUACAGUCAUCAGCCUUGCAGGGCAAUUACUAGCCCCAGUGUGUUUAAUGUAUACCAUGGAGAAGGUAAAAAAGCUUUCUUCCUUCUGUGAAGAAAAAUUCAGAACAAAGUUAAUGUUCUCAGGGGAAAUGUGGUGCCAUUUAAGAAAAUCAGAGUUAUCCCAGUUGUGUAAGUAGAGUCAAUAAAAAAUUCAAGUAGUGAUUUAAUGACUGGACAUUGACCUAAAGCAUGUUACAGCUUUGACUAACUUACAGUGAAAUUAUUUGAAGCAGUGAAUUACUGCUGUUGCAUAUUUUUGUUAGACACAUUCUGAGUUCACACAAAAUUUCUAUAAAUGCAAUUAGAAGCCAAAUUAAGGAGCAUCAGCUUAUCAUCAGCAACAUUAAGUGAUUUGAAGUGCUGGCCAACUAGCAAAUAGAGCUGGAAGCAGUAAGCUCCUUUCAUGGUCCAGAUCUGGGACCUGUGAUAGCACUUUAUGCUUUACAACCUACCACUUGGUUACUGAUUAAGCACCAUUUAUCACAUGAGAGAAAUAACAUCUAUUCUGUAAUUCUGUCUGUAGUAUUCUGGAUAUUUUUAAAACUGUUUUUGCAUAUUUAUCUUCUUCAAUUUUGAGAUUCAAGUUAAUCCCAAAAAUACAACUCUUAAGAACUCAUUUAAAUUCAACUGGUAGAAACUGAAUUGUGUGAGGGCCUGGUUUUAGACAACACAACCAGUUUCCAUGAUAGUGGUCACAGAAAGGGUGUUCAUGUUAUUCGGAUAUCAUACUUAAUGCAUCUGUAACUCUGUCUUGGAAAUGGUUAAGAACAGCACGACUCUGACUCAAGGGAGAAGUAGUUUCUGAGAAAUUUAGGUUGGUGAGAAUAAUGCUUUUGGCAACUAAGAGUUUAGGAUUACUAUGAAUGACUAUGUAACAGUUUCAAUAAUUUUUUUUCCCUUUAUUUUGUAAUACAUUUUUGUUGAAAGAUAAAAUUGUAUAAGUUUAGAUGAAAACAGAGUUAGUAGGUGUAUAAAAAUGCAAUGAAGUGCACUUGAGAAGUAGUAGAGUGCAUAGUUGCACUCUUUGUUUAUUAGAUAUGUUUCUUGUAGCUUUUAUAAUGUAUGUGUAUAUUUGGUGGAUAUCAGGACCUUAUAAAUAAUAAACAUAAUUUGUAUAGAGUACAGACAAUAAACCGGUGCCUCUGAAAACAAGAGAACAUGAAGAUUACAUGUUGGCCUUGCAACAAGAUCUUCGAGGAACUACAAAAAAAAAUGCCAUACUUUUUGACAGUAGGAGAUGAACAUCAAGGCUUUGAAUGUAAUACACCUUUUUGUCCAAUUGUUCGUGUACUAAAGCCAUAUAUAAAGUGGAGCAGCACCGUGCAGUGUGAUCAGUGAACACAGUGACAGCCAGAUGUUGUGGCUCAGAAAAGACAGAGUAUUUCCCCUGAUCUGCAGCUGGAGCCCAGGUGGUGCAACCAGGUAAAACAGGUCAUGAGGAGAGAACAGAUCUGAUCCUUAUUUCUAGAUCCCUUUAUGAUGGUAGAAGAAUUUUGGGUUAAUCUUUUAUCAUAUGUCCUCUUUCAUCUUCUGGAUAAACAAGUUUCAGUAUCUUUGGAUUUCCAUCUCACUAGAGUCUUGCUGUGCUCUUGAUCUUUGUCAGGCUUGAAGUUUGCUAUUUCUGGUAGAGGCACAAAAAAGGAAACUGCUGUGUCUGAGAACCAGCCAGGGUUAUUUCCAGUGAACCAGCUGCUUUAUGAGACAAUGUUAUCUCUCUUUUCUGACUUUACCUCAUGUGAUUGUUCUCACUGUUCACCUCAGUAUUAUGUUUGUCCCUGAAAUCUUCUUUCUCAGAUGGACAAGUCUCUCUGUGUUGCUGAGUGUAUUCCUUAGUAGAGUUGCCAGCUUUGAAAACUGUUUUUUUCCUACCAGAAUUGGCAGUUUCAGGGAAAUCAGGUAGACAGCCACUUUAUAGAUUCAAAUAAUGCUUCAAAUAUUCUCAUCACCACUGCAAGGGUAAGUUGGUAAGUUGAGGUAUCUUUUUACAAAAUCUGUAAUUGCACAAAAAUGGCACAUCUGAGGGAUGGGUUAUAAUUGCAUCAGUGAUAGAGUGCAAUUUAAAAAGCUUGUUUUCAUCUCAGUUGCAAUGUGCAGUUGUCUCUGGGACUGCUUUCUGUGGUAAAAGUGGUCUAGCUUUAAGAAGACGGUAGAUUAUUUAUAACUGAUGUCUUCUGUUACCUGGUUUACAAAACAUUUUGUAAAACUAAGAGGGUAUUAUAGGGUGGGCUUUAACUUCAUAAACUGUCUUUGCUAGAAGAGUGAAUGGAUUGUUUUAAAACCUCAGAACAACAUCUGUGAGCCAAAUGGUCCUUUGAAGUGUGAGAAGGGAAAUGUUUUAAUUAGUUAGGAUGUAUCUGUCUAUCUUCCAUUUUUCAUGCAGCAAAUGAAAGCUAUAUCUCAUUCUACCUGGAAAUGUUGAUGUUAAUGUGCCAUAAAGCAUAGAUUUCCAUCAUUCAACACUCUUUUUGAGAAUAGCAGGCAUAUUCUAUAGAAAGUUCUUUAUUUACCUCACCAUGUAAGUUAUGAAUGACUCAUCUUUUCCCUGUAAGUGUAUCUGCCAAAACUGGGCAGUGGUUUGGCAAUGGUUUGGAAUUAGUUCAUUAGUUGUGAAGGGCAAAAGUCAGUCAAUAUAUAUUUUUUCUGACGACAUCAGCAAUUAUUUCUUCACUAAAGAGCCUUGAUCUGAAAUUAAAACUACUAGUUUAUUUUCCUCUCUUUGCUGAUAGUUUCCUACAUCUAUGAAUGCCCCUUGAGACACUGUUAUUUUAAUUGUAGACUCUGUUGCACAAUUUUGAGGUUUUCUAUUUGCCUUCUUAAUAACUAAGUUUAAGAUUUAGUUUAAUUUAUGAUUUUUUCUUUUUCCUUGGCGAGUACCUGAAGGAUGGGAUUACAUACAUAGAGACCUUGACAGCCUGGAGAAGUGGGUGUGUGGGAAUUUUAUGUGGUUUAAUAGAGUGAGUGCAAGGUGCUGCACCUGGCCAUUGCCAGCAGGUUGAGGGAGGGAUUAUUCCCCUCUUCCCUGCUCUGGUGGGACCCUACUGGCAGUUCUGCAUAAGCUCUGGGGUUCCAGCACAGGGAGGACCUGUUGAAGCCAGUCCAGAAAAGGCCACUCAGCUGGCAUCAGAGGGAUGGAGAACCUCUCCCAUGAGGAGAGACUGAGAGAAUUGGGACUAUUCAGCCUGGAAGGGAGAAGGCUUCAGGCUGACCUAAUUGCAGCCUCCAGUAUCUGAAGGGAAUUUACAUCACUGGGAAGCAUGGUGCUGAAGGUAGACUGUAAGAUUCAACUGAAAAUUAAUUAUUCAUUUGCAAAAUGUCCAAAGGUGCAAUCAGAAUAUACCAGGUUUUAUUCCAAAAGAAGAACCAAUGGGCUUUUAUAAGCCUGUGCGCAAUAGUUUUUGCCCUGAGAUCUAGUGAAAUAAUAAAUGAAGAUUAUUAUCGCUUGUUAAAAAAUGUUGUGAUUAUCAUAAAAAGAGAAUCACUGCUCACUGGAGGCAUUUUUCUUUCUUCAGUACUAGUUUCUCUACUGGCUGUUAAAAGUACAUUCCUUUACAUGUUAUAAUAGCAAAGAUCAGCUGACCAUCAGACUUUGAUUUGAUUAAGAAACAGGUUCCCCUGAAAGCAAAAGCUGUGUUGGUUAUAAUAUUUAUAUAUAUAUAUAUACACAUAUACACACACACACACACACAUAUAUAAGCCUAUGGGUUAGGGGUUUUUUGUGGAUUCAUGAUGAUGCAUUUAGGGGUUUUUUUGUGGAAUCCUGAUGAUACAGAGUUACAUAUGAAUCAGGAAGUUUGUACAUAGCUUAUCAGUGACCCAUUAGAGCUCCUGUACAUGUCUUUGUUGUAUUUUGAGGACAGAUAACAUAGGUGACACUUUAACCAUGGUGGAACAAAGGUGAACAAAUCACCAGACUUUGCAGAAAAACUCAAACCAGGGUACUGUUCUACAUUUUUAGCUUGCAGGAGUGGUUUGGGGAGCACUACAGUUCCAUGCAGAGGGGCAGCUUUAAUUUCGCACACUCCCCUCCCUCUUUCUGGUUUCCCUGAAUGUUUUAACUGAAGACCUAACCAUCUGCCUUCUCAGUGACAAAACUUUGGGUAGAAUUCCAUAUCUCUCCCACAAUGACCCUGGGCUGUGAGAUGCAGUAUUAGAUACCAGCAGUACCUGCUGAAAAAACCAAACAACUCCAUAAAUAAAUAAGAUAAAUAACAAUGUCAUCUGGCUUCAGUUGACAUUGUAGGCCAGCCAUAUGCAAAGGAAUAUAGCACUCAAAUGUAUGCAUUUUAGCCCAAGUACUGCAAGACUAGGUUUUUGGAAAUUAGAUUGGAUUGGAUUGGAUUCCAUUGCACCUCUAAUGUAUAUAAUGUAGGGAGCUAUUUUGUUUGAAGUUCUAACAAUGGGUCAGUGUUUCUAAUUUAUAAGGGACAAAGAUGCCCAGCUUUUAGAGGCAACUCUCCCAGGUUUGUUUGUUCUAUAUGCAUUAUCUCUAAAAGCCAGACAGUUUGUGCAGAGAUGACAGUUCUGAAUUGCACUUUCUGCUUGUUCUCCUAGAAAGUCUACUUCAUUCUAGAUGUGUUUGCUUUGAUGACACUCAUGAUUUUGCAAAGCAGCUUGCCUGCCCUGAGCUCUGUGAGUACUUUAGUCAUAUAAUCCUUUCCUAGGCAAAACACUGGAAUAAACUCAAUGUUAUUUAUGACAAAUGCUUUUGAUAAAGUACGGGUGUUUUCUCAGCAGUUCCUGGUGUUCUGCUUCAUUGAGUAUUUGGGGAACUUUGGUUUAGGGUGCUGCCAUUCAAGUAACUCUUACUUGGGCAUGUGGAAUUAUGAGUUAUUUUUGAUCUUUGCUCCACCACGUAGUUAAUCAGGGAGUAAUGUGAUAAAGAAUAUGUCCAUGAAUCAGGGGACUAAGUA